GUUCCAUUAAUGCAGCAACUAUCAUUUCAUUUGUAAUUAAAAAUACAAAUGUCAAAUACUAGUGAAAAAAAUGAAUUUGUAGGGGAGAAGAUAUGAAUUGGAAGCUGUCUUAUCUACUGCUGAUUGGCACCUGAAGAGAGAUGCCAAAACCAAAAAAAUAUCUUCAAGAGUUACCAUUACACAACUGAAAAGCUAAAAGUAAAGAUGGAGAAGCAAGAACACUUAAAACUCCAAGGAAAGUCUUCUUUUAUCAGUAGUCCCAAUUGGCUGACAAAAAAAAAAAAAAAAAAAAAAAAAAAAAAGAAGGGAAACACUCCAGUUUUGAGUUGCAGAAAAGUAAUUGAAACCUAGCACCAAAAGGGCACAAAGUGGAAAGUCAAUGGAGGUUUCAAUUCAAACAGAAUCCUAGCUGUACUUUGUCUUUCACUACCUCCAAAAGAGGCCACAGAAAUGGGGAGAGAGCUAGCAAUCAUUCCUCUCUCUAUGAACCGCCAUCUCCAGAAAUUUCCCUAAAGGGCCAGUCUACACUUUUGGAAACCAAGAUAAGCUUAUCUACAAAGGUCUGUGGGUUCAACGGAGUUUGGCUGCUUCAGCUGGGCGAGUCCCAGACUGCUUGUCAGGCUCAGGUCUGUUUUCCUGAAACAUCUUCUCACAGCCGUUGGCAGAAGUACACGAGAGAAAGCAGAAAAAUGCAUUAUCUGGAAGGCCUCAGUUUGGAACAGUGCCCUGUUCCUAUCCCCACCUUCCACUGAUCACUGCCAAGCUCAUAGUGUUUGUCAUUAAAUUACCGAUUCUGCGCUCCAAACCUACCUUUCUAUACUCUGAUUUAUGUUGCUGGAUCUGGGGCCAUUUUUCUACUUUGUCAGAUGGCUCCCAGCCUGGGCUCAUUAACUGGAAUUACCAGAGGGGAUUUGAAGACUGGAGAAGAGAUAGUAAUUCCCCUGUUUUCUUGUUCCUGACACUCCUCCCCAGGAAAGUUUCUUCACCCUGACAACGGCAGUUGGCUCCAGUGUUUAGUUUAAAAAAUUUUUGCCACAUAU
RNAcentral lists this long non-coding RNA (1040 nucleotides) under Felis catus (domestic cat). RNAcentral's name for it is "lncRNA (ENSFCAG00000044452.2)". Lineage: Eukaryota; Metazoa; Chordata; Mammalia; Carnivora; Felidae. The record is from RNAcentral.